Molecule: transfer RNA, 64 nt
Filed under: Prolachesilla sp. GRA2sp1LA
Lineage: Eukaryota; Metazoa; Arthropoda; Insecta; Psocodea; Lachesillidae
Description: tRNA-Ala
Source: RNAcentral
AAGAUUAUAGUUAAUUAUAACAUUUGAUCUGCAAUCAAAAAGUAUUGAAACACAAUUUUUCUUA